UGCGUAGGCGGGCUAAUAAGUCAGUGGUGAAAUCUUUCGGCACAACCGAGAAACUGCCAUUGAUACUGUUAGUCUUGAGUUCGGUUGAGGUAGGCGGAAUGUGUAAUGUAGCGGUGAAAUGCUUAGAUAUUACACAGAACACCAAUUGCGUAGGCAGCUUACUAGACCGACACUGACGCUGAGGCACGAAAGCGUGGGGAGCGAACAGGAUUAGAUACCCUGGUAGUCC
This 229-nucleotide ribosomal RNA is filed under the name uncultured bacterium. RNAcentral's name for it is "partial 16S ribosomal RNA". It matches the Rfam family "Bacterial small subunit ribosomal RNA", at positions 568 to 796 of the family's 1533-position model. The record is from RNAcentral.